RNAcentral lists this ribosomal RNA (100 nucleotides) under uncultured bacterium. RNAcentral's name for it is "partial 16S ribosomal RNA". The record is from RNAcentral.
AAGGCCCUCUGGGUUGUAAACUUCUUUUAUCUGGGACGAAAAAAGGGCAUUCUUGCUCACUUGACGGUACCAGAGGAAUAAGCACCGGCUAACUCCGUGC